UAUCCCCUUUCCAACAAAGAAAGAAUUAUCAAAAUCGGUACAUCCAGUAGAAAGUUAUACGGUAUAAUACAACGUAGGUCGACGAAAAAAGCGUCAAGUAAAAACACAUUAUUAGAUAUAACUCGAAAAGUGGUUGUUAGAUCUCAAAUAAAUUUAAAUGGGACCAAUUGGCACACACCACCUUUCGAUUAAAACAAAAUUUGUCGAAAUCGGUCCACACGGGCAAAAGUUCUGAUGUAACAUACAUAAAAAAAAAAAAA
This 260-nucleotide unclassified non-coding RNA is filed under the name Melitaea cinxia (Glanville fritillary). RNAcentral's name for it is "misc RNA ENSMCXG00005013626.1". The record is from RNAcentral. Lineage: Eukaryota; Metazoa; Arthropoda; Insecta; Lepidoptera; Nymphalidae.